GUAAUAGUCGGAGGAGGAUGGUUCUGUCUGGAGGAAGUGGGUCACUAGGAGUGGGCCUUUAAAUCCCACCGUUUCCAGCAUGUGCUCUCUGCUUUCUGGCCUCUACCAUGCAAACAGCCACUGCUCCAUGUUUCUGCCACCACAGGCAUAGCUACUGUGCCGUGCCAUCCCGUCAGCGAUAGAAGGAAACUCAUCCGAAACCUGUUCCCUUCAUAAGCUGCUUUUGUGAGAUUUAUGGCCCAUAGUGAAGUUCAUCUUGUCUAUGAGCUGACCAGUAGAACCUGGAAGAAAAUGCAUUCUUCUCUAGAAACCACAAGCAGCCAACAGUUCAGCAUGGAUGGGGACACGGCCACGAGGACACAGGUCCUCCACAUUACUAACGAGUGCAGUAAAGUCCCCAAUUGCAGUGCCGCCCUGCAAGAAGCACCUGGAGUGUUCCUUCAAACCACAACUGGAAAGAAGUCAUGCAACACACGAAGUUCCACCUUUAACUUAGUUUUACAGCAACAUUCAUUGUCUGUGUAUUUAUGUUCCUCACCGUUCUUCACAGUGACCUGACCUUGUAGGGCCCUGACCAUGGAUGAGCCCUUCCUUGGAACUCUCAUGAUGCUCUUCAUUUUCCAUUUUUUUUCUUGUCAGUUUCCUUCCUAGGUCUCUACACCACUGGUCAGAAAACAGAUGCAUAUCUGUAUACAUGCAUGAUAAUAACAACAGCAUAAACAUGAAUUUAGUACCAUUCCUUAUUAAGAUCAUUAAUUCAGCAGCUACAUGGGAGAGACCAAGGCUGGGGCCAGAGCAGUGGUCAUCGCUGGUAUAAAGCAAAACAACAUAAUACUGACACACACAGAACCAUGGGUUGAAUUUUAUGAUCAGAUCUUUAAUGAGCAUCUUACAGCUUGUUAUAGGAAAGUAUUUUCAAUUAGCUAAAUAUGUGUAAUAAUUGAAUAAGCACCACUAGAAGAAAUGAGCUUCCAGCAAUAAAAGCAUUUAAACAGAGCUUAUGAGACCAACUUGAAGUUAAUUUCCAAAAACGUGUUUCUCUUGCUAUGGACUGGAAGAAUGCUGAGGGCAAAUGACCAUUUACCUAGAUUGUAUUUUAUAUAAAAAUCGCUGGUGCUCCCAUGAAUUUUUCAUAUAUAUUAAAUUCUCUUUAUGUUCUUAAGCAUCCUGUGAAAUAAAUCAAGAGCUGUGCUUAAUGACAAACGUGCCUGUGUGCGUUGCCUCGGGAGGCCGAGGUCAGAGGAUUGAGUUCCACGACGACCUGGGUUAUGUAAGUAGUCUGAGGCUGGCAUGAGACCCCUGUUUCAAAAAGGUAAGCUAAUUAACUAACUCACAACCAAUUAAUAAAUAAAUUAACAAGCAGUGAGACAGGCUCAGAGAAAAUUCCCACAAAACUCUAGAGGUGGAAAAAAUUAGCAUAACUGAGAUCCGACCCCAGCCAGUUCCAUUCCUAAACUGUAUUGUCGAUAUAAGUGUUCAGGAACUGUUUGUCUUCCUCUUGUCUCGCUGUCAUAAAGGCUUCAGCCUUAAACCACUAGAUUCAUAACUCACCUUAUGUCAGACAGGACAGAAGGGAGAAGGAGAUGGAUUCUCCCAAACCCACCUCCAGUGAUCUACUUCUUCCAACUAGGUCCAGGCACCGCGCUUCAGCAUCUCCCAAAAGAGAGUCACCAGCUGGGACUCCAGCCUUCAAUACAUAAUAAGCCUUUAAUGGAAUAAAUCAUCUCUACAUGAGGUAGAAUCUACUGGCUUUGCCGGUUAAAGAAGUCCUCUUUCAUAGUCGCUACAAAGUUCUAGGAUGCCCAGAAUCUUGGAAGAACAACUGAAGGAAAUCCUCAAGCAUGUGAAACCCCUAGGAUCUCAGUCAUCUUGAGGGAAUCGUUCAGUGGCCCUGGAAUUUUAGACCUUCCAAGGUAGGAGGCUUCUCAUCUCUGUAUUUAUUCCUUCCCAGCACUGGGAUUUCUAGAAAGAAUAGAAUUAAACCAAUGAAUGCAGCAGGUAUUGACUGGGUGGAUGGGGGUAACCAGGAUGUUGGAGUUAGUAAUACGAAGAACAAGAGGCAGUUCUCGCGGGCAGCGUUGUCUUUUGUGAGUCGUCCUAGUGUUCCAGCUAUUCCAGUACUUUGCUAGUCCUAGGUGGCCUCUGGGUUCCUAUUUGCCUGGUUUCUUGUCCCUGUGCAAGCAGGGCUGGAAUCGGCUGUGAUGCAGGCUGUUAAGCACACACGAGUUCCUUUGGAGACUGUACAAUCAAGGACUCCAAGUCUUGCCGUCUAGUUAUCUCAUGAUUUAUGGCUGGAGGGGUGGCUCUCCUGCAAACGAUUGGACAAUGAUGAUAAAGGAGAUAGCAGCACCUCUAGGGCUGCUUCCUGUUACCCUUUUCUAUAGUUACCAUUUAGAAGCAUUUAAUAGCGUCCGGAGUGCUCGGGGUGUAAAACCAUUCCCGCUCGCUCACCGCUGUACUGUGGAGUCAGUUGGCGACUCCUCUUUGGCUUUCUAAACCAGAAGAUAACCCAAUUCACAACUACC
Molecule: long non-coding RNA, 2525 nt
Organism: Mus pahari (shrew mouse)
Lineage: Eukaryota; Metazoa; Chordata; Mammalia; Rodentia; Muridae
Exons: 4
Source: RefSeq, a predicted model, not a curated record